GGGAAGGACUUGCUCUCCCAUAACACCUUGUGCCUGAGCCAAAGGCACAAAAGAGAAGUGAACAGGGACUGCUGGGAUCAACACUGUGAGGUAGACAGGAUAGCUUCCAGGUGAUUACUGCAAUUAGGAAAGUGAGCAGGUGGGAGUGGAACAGGUGGCAGCCUUAGCAGCUGCUGGUGAGCAGCACAGAUGCCUCGGGCAAGCCAGGAGCUGCAGUACCAAACACAAAUAUGACGGUGGCAGGGAUGGCAGUAACCUAAAUCAAGAUAAAAGUAGUGGCUGCCCAAGCAAGGUUACAGCACACCCUGGGGAGAAGGAAGAAGACAUCUGGCACUCCACUGGCCUUGGGACUAUCAGUAACAACACAGAUCCCUUUUCAAUCUGAGCUAGUAAAUGUGUCAUGUGCAGCUGUCAUAUGGAAGAGCGAUUACCCUAGAGCCAAACUGCUGGAACUGUCUCUGAACUAUUGCAUAGAUAUCUUUGUGGUUCCUUCCUCAAUACUGAAAGAUUGUCAUGAAGAAUAGUGACUUUAUGAACUAAGGGCAGGAAUGGAAGUGGAUGCUGGCCAAUUAGAUCUAUAACAACGUUGGUGCUGCAUGUGAAGUUUCGAACACUCCCCAGGUGAGGAAUC
Molecule: long non-coding RNA, 631 nt
Organism: Sarcophilus harrisii (Tasmanian devil)
Lineage: Eukaryota; Metazoa; Chordata; Mammalia; Dasyuromorphia; Dasyuridae
Exons: 3
Source: RefSeq, a predicted model, not a curated record